GUCAACAAUAGUGCUGUUUAAUUUACUGGAAGGAAUUAUGAAAUAUUGAUAUUCGUUGAAACCUACAGUUCCUGCCGGGCAGGUGGUAUCAUAAAUGUUGAGUCAAUUAGAGUUGUUUCUUUAAUGUACAUUGGAGUACAAUUUCAUAUAGGCCUACUUAUGUAGAGGAAUACGUGGAUGGUUUUGUAGCAUUUAGUUUUGUUCAUACCAUUGCUGUAUAGUUGAUUUUAUUUGUAUAGUGAGUGAUACAGUACUUGUCAAGGUUUUGUUGAAGGCAGUUACCUCGGUGCUGGUACAAGACAUUUAUCGCGUCAUUGAACAGGGCAAUUAUACGUAUACAAAAGAACCAAAGAUGAUUUAGCUUCAUCACGUUUCUGUCAUCUUAAUACAUAAAUUAUUUUGUGCGAAGACUGAUGUUAUUGUUGUUGUUGUUUGUUACUGGAUUUGAUAAUAGUAUGGUGUACCAUAGUCAAUUAGAGGUAAACCGAUUUACAUACCUUCCGGUGGUGAAUUGUGCUGAACUCCGGGAGACAAUCUAGCUGAAACACAAGGAGAGCCACAGAUAGAAUUGAACUACAAAUAAUCUCUACUGCUCACAUACAGUGGCUACCACCAGUUUAGCCGACUGAGCCUAGUAGCUUUACUUAAAUCAGAAUUUACGGUCAAAUUAAGAUAAAAUCAAUAAAGUUAGGCCUCUCCACCAAAAACGCUGUUCUAUAUAAAUGAACUUAGGUCCUCAAACAUGCAGGUUUUCAAUGAUAGACUCAAAAUAAUUUGAUUAUGAUAAUUUUAUUAUACUGCGAGUUCAAAAUGUGUGAUUUCAGGUGACAUUAACACAUCUACUUUGCCUAGACCACCGUAAAGAAGCGUGUGUUACAGUUGAUAAUUUAGGUCUAUUCGUCCUACUCUUCACAGGAUUACUUUAAAUUUAAUUACUUUGACUUCAAAAUGACACUAAUGAUGUGUUUCACCUUUACCUAAUGUUAUUUGUCAGAAUGUACAACUCCUUUGAUUUGGAAGACCACUAAUUUUGGGUUAGAACUAGAUUUGAGUCUUAAAGGCAACUGCCGCUGUUUGUAUAUGCAUUGAACAUUUGCACAAUAUUCACUAACCUAGGCCUGCAUUAAACGAUCUUUAGCUUGGCACUACGACAUUAUCUCAAUUUCCAUAAAAUGAUGAAUAUAACUUCAGUUUUAGUAUAUUACAUUACAAUGUUGUACUGGUAGGAGUAAUAAUUAAUAAUCUAGUCAGUGUUGUAGCUAUAGAAAAAUAAAGGUGGAUGGAGAUAUUUUAAGGUUGGGUGGGUGAAAACAUGAAUGAACCCUAAGAGUGGAUUUUAAGGAUGGGCAUGGAGGUUAACAUGGGUGGGUGCAGGGUGCCUGAAAUUUGUUUUAGACUGGGUAGAAAACUUCAAAGCUGGGUGGCCCGCCCACCAUAAAUACAUCCCUGAGUUCUAGUGUCCUGUAUCUAGUAUUAGAAUUCAUGCCCAAUGAAAAAACUUUAUAAUACAGUAGGUGGGGAGAUCCAACCUGGUCUGUGCCCCUAAAGAUUUCAAAAUUAUUUAAAAAAAUGAAAAUUAUAUUCAAAUUUAAAUCUUAGAGUGUCAUUUUCCGGCCAUAAUCAUGAUUUUUUUUAGAGGUGGCCUAGACCUUCCAUCUGUGAAAGUCCAUCUUUGGGCCCCCUCUACUUUAAACUAUUGGAUAUCCUACUGGCCACUCCAAUGAAAACACCAAAUUGUAUGGUGACACUUUUAUCUAUCAUAAAAUAAUAAAAGCAAUUUUAAUCAUUUUGGAUAAUGAUAAUAUAGUAAAAAAGACUUACAGUGACUCAAGUGUUUCUAUCAUUUUUUGCUGUAAAAUUGUGUAAACAUUUUUUUAAGUGCACGAAUUUCUAUGUUCAAGUUGAUAAUUUGUAUGUUAUUUCAAAAUGUGCCAGUUAAUUUCAAAAAUGAUUUUGAUUUUUUUUUCUUGUAUUUUUCAUGGAACAGUACGCCUACAUCUUUGCUUUUCUAUAAAUGUGUUGUAAAUUCUAUGCGACAUUGCACAAUCCCCAGUGUGUCACUUUAAAUAGAAGGCUCAUCUUUUUAAUUUGAUAUUAAAUCUGAAAA
This 2107-nucleotide long non-coding RNA is filed under the name Anneissia japonica. Its description in RNAcentral is "uncharacterized LOC117116300, transcript variant X2". Lineage: Eukaryota; Metazoa; Echinodermata; Crinoidea; Comatulida; Comatulidae. The record is from RNAcentral.